RNAcentral lists this long non-coding RNA (1490 nucleotides) under Phasianus colchicus (ring-necked pheasant). RNAcentral's name for it is "lncRNA (ENSPCLG00000005547.1)". Lineage: Eukaryota; Metazoa; Chordata; Aves; Galliformes; Phasianidae. The record is from RNAcentral.
CCCUACCUGAAUGGUUUCUCCUCAUUUGACUCUGGUUCUGCAGACGUACAAUAACCCCAUGGUGCCUUGGGAAGAGGCAGGAGUGGUAAGCCAGGCUUCAGAGCAGAGAGCAGGAUGUAGAGCACACACACAGGUGUCCUCAUCCCACCCUCAGCCCACCUGCUGCUACCUGCUUAUAGGCUGAAGGGAAGGAAGGCUCUGUUACCACUAAUUGACCAUCUUGUCAACCUCUGCUCAGGGGGAGGUGUUUGCAGGCUCAGUAACAGCUGUAAGAGGGGAAAUGGCCUUUCUCUCUCCAUCAGUUCUCAGCAGCUGCAAGAGGGAUCUCAUUGGAUUUUUCACCUUUAUUAAGCAUCACUUGGGGAGCAUCUGGUGUGUUCUCCACAUGGGACAGUCACGUGGCUUGGACCUGACUUCAGGAUGGAGACUGCAAGGAUCUCUCACUCUUCCCCAGUGGCUUGGAGCAAAAGCCAACAUGGUUAGGAGGUGACUCCAGCGUGACGGGAGGUUUGCCACCCCAGUGCCCUCUGAAGACAUGUAAGCAAGAGACAACACUGCCUCCUGAGCAUCAAGCAACUACUGAUGUUCCUUCAGCAAAGACGCCUGCCUCAAAGGUUGGUGAUGCAAAUGGGGUUUGGAAUGGUCUGUAACUGGCUACUGCUAAUCAAAGCAGAUUGCUGUUAGCUUAAACAGACUCUGACGCUUCCUGAAAAAUGUGUCCAUCUGUCUGCAAAGAGGUUCAAAGUAUGCUAGCGAGGAGAGCUGGCUUGAAAAACACUGUUGUCUCUCUGAACAUAAUUAUACUCUCAUUUCUCUGUUUUCAUGUGUUGUAAUACAGUGAACUUUAAGGAAUUUCAUGGAGACUGAGUUAGUAAAAUCCCAUCCAUCAGACUGAAGGAGUGUGGGCACAGGCAGGACACCCUGCCAUGUAUGAUGCCUCUGCUUGCCAAAAUAGUUUUUGCUUCCAGUGGGAAAAAGCCAGGUUUCCUUGUGGGACAAACAGCCUGUUUCAGUCACGACCUCUGGCCCAGAAACAGUCUUAAUGGUUCUUCUGUGUGGUAUUCAUCAUUACUAAAUAGCUGGCUUGAAAUGUAACUAAUUUCUUUCAUAAAAGUUACUGUAAGCUUGGUCCCUUCUGAACUAAAGCAGUUUUGAGCUAAACUGAAACAUGGGAAAACAGAGGAAAGCAAGAUGGUGAAAAAGCACACAUUUCAAAGGGAAGGUCUGCAGGUGUAAUUACCCUAUUGAUAAUUAUACUUCUCAGCCUGUUGCAAUGCACUCAAAACCACAGAUGACGGGGUGAAGGGAAGUGAACUAAGUCUAGACAGCAAGGGAUCUUUUAAGGGCAACUCAAAUGUGAGUUACGUUAAAGCAAGGUCUCUUAAAGGUGGGGAAUAUACUCCUGAUGUGCACAGGACAGGCCAAAGGAUUUGAAGGUGGGAAUGUGAUGUAAGGCUUUUGUUUGCAAGACUUUGAUAGGAGUGUGGGUC